RNAcentral lists this small RNA (28 nucleotides) under Bombyx mori (domestic silkworm). RNAcentral's name for it is "ovarian small RNA-9142". The record is from RNAcentral. Lineage: Eukaryota; Metazoa; Arthropoda; Insecta; Lepidoptera; Bombycidae.
UGUUACAAGGGUUGCGCCGAUGGACAGA